Molecule: ribosomal RNA, 892 nt
Filed under: uncultured soil bacterium
Lineage: Bacteria
Description: bacterial SSU rRNA
Rfam family: Bacterial small subunit ribosomal RNA
Source: RNAcentral
AUGAAUCUCUGGCUUAACCAGAGGCUGCUUCGAACUGCCGUGCUAGAGUGGGAGAGAAGCGAGUGAAUUACGGUGUAGCGUGAAAUGCGUAGAUAUCCGUAGACAUCGAGCGAAGGCGGCUCGCUGGAUCACAACUGACGCUGAGGGACGAAAGCUAGGGAGCAAACAGGAUUAGAUACCUGGUAGUCCUAGCCCUAAACCAUCAGGACUUGGGGUUUGCCCUGUACGGGACAAGUCCCGUAGCUAACGCGUUAAGUCCUGCGCCUGGGGAGUACGGUCGCAAGACUGAAACUCAAAGGAAUUGACGGGGGCCCGCACAAGCGGUGGAACAUGUGGUUCAAUUCGACGCAACGCGAAGAACCUUACCUGGGCUUGAACCGCACAGGACCAUCUUUGGAAACAGAGACUUCCCGCAAGGGACCUGUGUAGAGGUGCUGCAUGGCUGUCGUCAGCUCGUGCCGUGAGGUGUUGGGUUAAGUCCCGCAACGAGCGCAACCCUUACUCAUAGUUGCCACCCGCAAGGGGGAACUCUAUGAGGACUGCUCCGGAUAACGGAGAGGAAGGUGGGGAUGAGGUCAAGUCAGCAUGGCCUUUAUGUCCAGGGCUACACACGUGUUACAAUGCGCGCCACAAAGCGUUGCAAACCCGCGAGGGGGAGCUAAUCGCAAAAAAGCGCGCUCAGUUCGGAUUGCAGUCUGCAACUCGACUGCAUGAAGCCGGAAUCGCUAGUAAUGGCGCAUCAGAACGGCGCCGUGAAUACGUUCCCGGGCCUUGUACACACCGCCCGUCACAUCACGAAAGUGGGCUGUACUAGAAAUCGCCGUGCCAACCGCAAGGAGGCAGGCGCUCAAGGUAUGACUCAUGAUUGGGGUGAAGUCGUAACAAGGUAACC